RNAcentral lists this long non-coding RNA (735 nucleotides) under Homo sapiens (human). RNAcentral describes it as "HSALNT0327628". Lineage: Eukaryota; Metazoa; Chordata; Mammalia; Primates; Hominidae. The record is from RNAcentral.
UCCUGGCCUCAAGUGAUCCACCUGCCUCAGCCUCUCAAAGUUGUUUUACUUCUUUGGUGUAUGUAUUUAUAGGCUUAGUAAAGCAAAGUCAGGAAAUUUCCUUUUUCCAGCAAAAACAUGAAAUUUAAAAGCUUGAGGCACAUGAUAAAAAUUAGCUGGCAAUAAAGAUUUUAUAACUAAAGUCUCCUUAUUUGGCAAUUAACUGAGUCAACAUUUUCAGCCAAUAUUACAAAAACAAAACUUUCAGAGGACUAUUUAUGAACUUGAGGCUACUUUCUUCACAUUUUUAUAAACAAUCAUCUUUUAGAUGACUGUGGUUUUCCCUCUAGGUAAGGAGUUGCAGGUGCAAACAGGAUGUCUUAGCAAUUUACCUUCUUGAAAUCUUGGAAGUUGUAGGAUUUGACUUCAUCAUCUAGCAUCUGGCUUCCAGUUUGCAGGUCCACCUUCUCCAUGGAUGCUGCAAAUUAGAAUGUCUUCACUAAGCAGAGGGUCUCUUUGGUGCUCAAAGAUACUACUAACUGAUUUGCCAAUGCUUGAGGACCUCACUUAAGGCACCUCUGAUCACAGCCUAAGAGCAUGUAAGGUUCUCUGGAAGGAUUUGAGGCCUGUAGUCAGAAUAAAGUUCCCACUUGCUGCUAAACGGAAGAAGAAAUGCGAGCGAAGGUGGGGAAAAGCCCCUUAUAAAACCGUCGGAUCUCGUGAGAACGCACUCACUAUCACGAGGACAGCUUGAGG